ACGUAGGGCGCAAGCGUUGUUCGGAUUUACUGGGCGUAAAGGGCGCGUAGGCGGCCACCGCAAGUCGACUGUGAAAUCUCCGGGCUUAACCCGGAAAGGUCAGCCGAUACUGCGGGGCUAGAGUGCAGAAGGGGCAACUGGAAUUCUUGGUGUAGCGGUGAAAUGCGUAGAUAUCUGGAAGAACACCGGUGGCGUAGGCGGCUCUCUGGGCCAAUACUGACGCUGAAGCACGAAAGCCAGGGGAGCAAACGGGA
Molecule: ribosomal RNA, 254 nt
Filed under: uncultured prokaryote
Description: partial 16S ribosomal RNA
Rfam family: Bacterial small subunit ribosomal RNA
Source: RNAcentral